GGGGUUGUAGCUCAAUGGUAGAGCACUUGCCUAGCAUGUGUGAGGUACUGGGUUCAAUCCUCAGCACCA
RNAcentral lists this transfer RNA (69 nucleotides) under Urocitellus parryii (Arctic ground squirrel). RNAcentral's name for it is "Spermophilus parryii (Arctic ground squirrel) tRNA". It matches the Rfam family "tRNA". From Rfam's summary of the family: Transfer RNA (tRNA) molecules are approximately 80 nucleotides in length. Their secondary structure includes four short double-helical elements and three loops (D, anti-codon, and T loops). The record is from Rfam by way of RNAcentral. RNAcentral also lists the same sequence under 1 other name. Lineage: Eukaryota; Metazoa; Chordata; Mammalia; Rodentia; Sciuridae.